Molecule: small RNA, 79 nt
Filed under: Veronia pacifica
Lineage: Bacteria; Pseudomonadati; Pseudomonadota; Gammaproteobacteria; Vibrionales; Vibrionaceae
Description: Enterovibrio sp. sw014 isrK Hfq binding RNA
Rfam family: isrK Hfq binding RNA
Source: Rfam by way of RNAcentral
GCACUGGCAAAAUCCAGUGUCGGGGUUGGUCUCCCGAAAUUCGAAAGGGCGAACAUCGCCAGCUUUCUGCUGGUUUUUU